RNAcentral lists this ribosomal RNA (491 nucleotides) under uncultured bacterium. RNAcentral's name for it is "partial 16S ribosomal RNA". It matches the Rfam family "Bacterial small subunit ribosomal RNA", at positions 29 to 507 of the family's 1533-position model. The record is from RNAcentral.
AGUGAACGCUGGCGGUAGGCCUAACACAUGCAAGUCGAACGGCAGCACAGUAAGAGCUUGCUCUUACGGGUGGCGAGUGGCGGACGGGUGAGGAAUACAUCGGAAUCUACUUUUUCGUGGGGGAUAACGUAGGGAAACUUACGCUAAUACCGCAUACGACCUACGGGUGAAAGCAGGGGAUCUUCGGACCUUGCGCGAUUGAAUGAGCCGAUGUCGGAUUAGCUAGUUGGCGGGGUAAAGGCCCACCAAGGCGACGAUCCGUAGCUGGUCUGAGAGGAUGAUCAGCCACAUUGGAACUGAGACACGGUCCAGACUCCUACGGAGGCAGCAGUGGGGAAUAUUGGACAAUGGGCGCAAGCCUGAUCCAGCCAUACCGCGUGGGUGAAGAAGGCCUUCGGGUUGUAAAGCCCUUUUGUUGGGAAAGAAAAGCAGCAGGUUAAUACCCCGCUGUUCUGACGGUACCCAAAGAAUAAGCACCGGCUAACUUCGUG